UCUGUUUCAAGGUUUUAAGGGGUGAUUUCUGAGACCUCACGGUCGAUGAAGACUUCAACAUAUCGGAGACUCUUCUGAGUCCUUCAUCGUGAUAUCGGAGUUUAUUUUCUUCUCCUGAACAUUCCGGAAGAUUUUAUGAUGAUUUUUGGUUGAUUUUGGGUGACCUAUCGGCUUCUAGGGUUUCUGACGGUUUAAACUGAGGUUUUACUGUAUUCCGGUGGCUCGAUUGUCACUUUGUGGACGCCGUGGGUGCAUUUCCGACGUUCCUGACCAGAUUUCCGGUAAAGUUUGUUUUCAAGGUUACACCUAAGGUUUGAUACCUAGGGUUUCUGUGUUGUUUGAAGACCGAUCUUCUCCGGUCGCGAAGAAGGAGGGUAACUCAUUUCCGACGUUCCUGACCAGAUUUCCGGAAAAGUUUGUUUUCAAGGUUAUACCUAAGGUUUGAUACCUAGGGUUUCUCUGUUGUUUGAAGGCCGAUCUUCUCCGGUCGCGAAGAAGGAGGGUAACUCUGUCCUUAUCUUCGG
Molecule: long non-coding RNA, 524 nt
Filed under: Nicotiana benthamiana
Lineage: Eukaryota; Viridiplantae; Streptophyta; Magnoliopsida; Solanales; Solanaceae
Description: long non-coding RNA (NBEN_LNC033254)
Source: RNAcentral